GACGAACGCUGGCGGCGUGCCUAAUACAUGCAAGUUGAGCGCCGAAGGUUGGUACUUGUACCAACUGGAUGAGCAGCGAACGGGUGAGUAACGCGUGGGGAAUCUGCCUUUGAGCAGGGGACAACAUUUGGAAACGAAUGCUAAUACCGCAUAAAAACUUUAAACACAAGUUUUAAGUUUGAAAGAUGCAAUUGCAUCACUCAAAGAUGAUCCCGCGUUGUAUUAGCUAGUUGGUGAGGUAAAGGCUCACCAAGGCGAUGAUACAUAGCCGACCUGAGAGGGUGAUCGGCCACAUUGGGACUGAGACACGGCCCAAACUCCUACGGGAGGCAGCAGUAGGGGAUCUUCGGCAAUGGACGAAAGUCUGACCGAGCAACGCCGCGUGAGGGAAGAAGGUUUUCGGAUCGUAAAACUCUGUUGGUAGAGAAGAACGUUGGUGAGAGUGGAAAGCUCACCAAGUGACGGUAACUACCCAGAAAGGGACGGCUAACUACGUG
This 497-nucleotide ribosomal RNA is filed under the name uncultured bacterium. RNAcentral describes it as "partial 16S ribosomal RNA". It matches the Rfam family "Bacterial small subunit ribosomal RNA", at positions 28 to 507 of the family's 1533-position model. The record is from RNAcentral.